AAAGGAGGAUGUUGCUGAUCUCAGUACAAGCAAUGUUAGAGAAAGGGGAAGAUGGAAGUGGACGAGGACCAGUGAGUGGAAGGUGACAAAUGGAAGCAAAGAAACCCAUCCAGACCAUUGAAGAUGCUUGAGCGAGAAGAAAGAGGCGGUGGAGGGAAUGGAAGCCCGAGGAAGUCAUUUGUUGCAAUAGGAUGCCUCAGAGCACGUGUAGGGUGCGGGGCAGAGCCCAUGCAGAGGGGCUGUGGAAGGCUGGCAGGGUGCAGGUGGCCCCACUCUCCGUCACCCUGAGGAAUAUGUGGUCAGAGUUAAAGCUCAGUCUGUUUCUGGGAUCAGUAUUUUGUCAUGGCAGCCCUAGCAAACUACUACAGGGACUGUGAGGGUUAAGAUGACACCAAACAUCAAAUGCCACUCCCUGUUCCAACACUGAGACCAUUCCACAGCCUCUGAAUGACAAGACAGGCCUUCAAAAUCAAGACCACCUGGCUAGAUUCUGGAUAUUA
This 500-nucleotide long non-coding RNA is filed under the name Homo sapiens (human). Its description in RNAcentral is "novel transcript". The record is from RNAcentral. Lineage: Eukaryota; Metazoa; Chordata; Mammalia; Primates; Hominidae.